This is a long non-coding RNA of Hippoglossus stenolepis (Pacific halibut), 530 nucleotides long. RefSeq lists it as uncharacterized. Lineage: Eukaryota; Metazoa; Chordata; Actinopteri; Pleuronectiformes; Pleuronectidae. The transcript has 3 exons. The record is from RefSeq and is a predicted model, not a curated record.
GGCGUGGUUGUGCAACAGCCAGCGCCUCCUCUAAUUUCCCCCCCUCGUGCGCAGCGUGACUGACUGCUGGCGUGGGAUCGCUCCGCCGGGGGACCUUCGGGGUGCAGUUGCGGGUCUGCUUUCUGGACUCAUCUACGGCUGGGGGAGACUCCCACCCUCCGGGUUGCUGUGACGGUGCCUUGGCUUGCAGGGUGAGGCCCUGCUCCUUCGUCGGCCGUCAUUGGCCACCACGUCUCAGACGGACCUGCUGUUUUGGCUUUACCGGAAAUUGCACUAUCCUAACUCACACUUUUAAUGAACUGUGGCAGCUGAUAGGAGCACGGCUCCACAGUUGGAGACUGCCCGGGCUCAGGACCAAUUCUGUGUGUUCUUGGAGUAUUGUCUCGUGCACUGUGGCUCUCCACGCUACACCUUCACGGUGCGUGGAGUGAUCACCACAAAGGGACGCCUAGUUUUUAGCAACCUUUUAAAUACUGUUUAUAUUGGUUGGUAUUUCGUUGUUCUGUUUUGUUGUUUCCACGCGGACAUGU